Molecule: unclassified non-coding RNA, 279 nt
Filed under: plant metagenome
Description: partial contains small subunit ribosomal RNA, internal transcribed spacer 1, and 5.8S ribosomal RNA
Source: RNAcentral
UUUCCGUAGGUGAACCUGCGGAAGGAUCAUUAACGUAUAAUCGUGGUGCGAGGGCUGUCGCUGAUCCGAAUGGUCGUGCACGGCCGAGUGCCAUUACACUCACACAUCCCUCCCCUAUGUGUACCACCGCGUGCGCCCCCCUUUGGCUUCUUCGGAGGGGGGCUUUCUUUUUCUCUCCAACUUUGCAAGCCCUGUCGAUUGUCUUUUUUGUUUUUCAGAUCAAGCACUUGUCUCAACUUUCAACAACGGCUCUCUUGGCCUUCGCAUCUCUGAAGAACA